AGGACGAACGCUGGCGGCGUGCUUAACACAUGCAAGCCGAGCGGAAAGGCCUUUCGGGGUACUCGAGCGGCGAACGGGUGAGUAACACGUGAGUAAUCUGCCCAUCGCUUCAGGAUAGCCAUCGGAAACGGUGAUUAAUACUGGAUAUGACAUUCCUUCGCAUGUUGGGGUGUGGUAAAGUUUUUUCGGCGGUGGAUGUGCUCGCGGCCUAUCAGUCUUGGUUGGUGGGGUAAUGGCCUACCAAGGCUUUGACGGGUAGCCGGCCUGA
This 268-nucleotide ribosomal RNA is filed under the name uncultured soil bacterium. RNAcentral describes it as "partial 16S ribosomal RNA". It matches the Rfam family "Bacterial small subunit ribosomal RNA", at positions 26 to 295 of the family's 1533-position model. The record is from RNAcentral.